Molecule: ribosomal RNA, 409 nt
Filed under: uncultured bacterium
Lineage: Bacteria
Description: bacterial SSU rRNA
Rfam family: Bacterial small subunit ribosomal RNA
Source: RNAcentral
GUAACACGUAUGCAACCUACCUUUAACAGGGGAAUAACCCGUUGAAAAACGACUAAUACUCCAUAACACAGGGGUCCCGCAUGGGAAUACUUGUUAAAGAUUAAUCGGUUGAAGAUGGGCAUGCGUUCCAUUAGCUUGUUGGUGAGGUACGGCUCACCAAGGCCACGAUGGAUAGGGAACUGAGAGGUUUAUCCCCCACACUGGAACUGAGACACGGUCCAGACUCCUACGGGAGGCAGCAGUGAGGAAUAUUGGUCAAUGGAGGCAACUCUGAACCAGCCAAGUCGCGUAGAAGGAUGAAGGUCUUAUGGAUUGUAAACUUCUUUUGCAAGGGAAUAAAGUGGGGGACGUGUCCUCCUUUGCAUGUACCUUGCGAAUAAGGAUCGGCUAACUCCGUGCCAGCCGCGGC